GGAAUGCGUGAAUUAAAUUGAAUAAAGAACAAACAAGAAAUGAACAACUAACUCACAAUCAUGGUUCUUUUGGUUUCUUGUUUCUCUUUCUUCUUUGUUC
RNAcentral lists this non-coding RNA (100 nucleotides) under Symbiodinium sp. CCMP2430. The record is from RNAcentral. Lineage: Eukaryota; Dinophyceae; Suessiales; Symbiodiniaceae.